UUGUCUCUCUUGAGUGGAUCCUGAGUACGACGGAGCACGUGAAAUUCCGUCGGAAUCUGGGAGGACCAUCUCCUAAGGCUAAAUACUCUCUAGUGACCGAUAGUGAACCAGUACCGUGAGGGAAAGGUGAAAAGCACCCCGGAAGGGGAGUGAAAUAGAACCUGAAACCGUGUGCUUACAAGUAGUCAGAGCCCGUUAAUGGGUGAUGGCGUGCCUUUUGUAGAAUGAACCGGCGAGUUACGAUUUGAUGCAAGGUUAAGCAGUAAAUGUGGAGCCGUAGCGAAAGCGAGUCUGAAUAGGGCGUUUAGUAUUUGGUCGUAGACCCGAAACCAGGUGAUCUACCCUUGGUCAGGUUGAAGUUCAGGUAACACUGAAUGGAGGACCGAACCGACUUACGUUGAAAAGUGAGCGGAUGAACUGAGGGUAGCGGAGAAAUUCCAAUCGAACCUGGAGAUAGCUGGUUCUCUCCGAAAUAGCUUUAGGGCUAGCCUCAAGUGAUGAUUAUUGGAGGUAGAGCACUGUUUGG
This 526-nucleotide ribosomal RNA is filed under the name Staphylococcus aureus. RNAcentral describes it as "partial 23S ribosomal RNA". It matches the Rfam family "Bacterial large subunit ribosomal RNA", at positions 388 to 917 of the family's 2925-position model. The record is from RNAcentral. Lineage: Bacteria; Bacillati; Bacillota; Bacilli; Caryophanales; Staphylococcaceae.